ACUCAGAUCACGUAAUUUUUUAAUAGUCGAACAGACUACCCUCUUUUAGCUCCUUCACCAAAAUAAAAAUUAAUUCAACAUCGAGGUCACAAACUUGAUUAUUAAUAAGAACUUGCUAAUCAAAUUAUGCUGUUAUCCCUAGAGUAACUUCUUACAUUAAAUAUAUUUUAUAAAAUUUUCUAAAAAUAUAUAUCUUCAACCGUUACCCCAACCAAAAAUUUUUUAAAAAUCACAAGCUUCUAGGGUCUUCUCGUCCCAAAACUUCAUAAAAGCAUUUUUACUUUUAAUUUAAAUUCAAGAUAAUUAAAUAAAACCAUCUCCUUAGUAUAAACCCUUCAUUCCAGCUUUCAAUUAAAAAA
Molecule: ribosomal RNA, 359 nt
Filed under: Geraeocormobius rohri
Lineage: Eukaryota; Metazoa; Arthropoda; Arachnida; Opiliones; Gonyleptidae
Description: partial large subunit ribosomal RNA
Source: RNAcentral